CGUCGUCAGCUCGUGUCGUGAGAUGUUGGGUUAAGUCCCGCAACGAGCGCAACCCUUGUCAUUAGUUGCUACGAAAGGGCACUCUAAUGAGACUGCCGGUGACAAACCGGAGGAAGGUGGGGAUGACGUCAGGUCAUCAUGGCCCUUAUGGGUAGGGCUACACACGUCAUACAAUGGCCGGGACAGAGGGCUGCCAACCCGCGAGGGGGAGCUAAUCCCAGAAACCCGGUCGUAGUCCGGAUCGUAGUCUGCAACUCGACUGCGUGAAGUCGGAAUCGCUAGUAAUCGCGGAUCAGCUUGCCGCGGUGAAUACGUUCCCGGGUCUUGUACACACCGCCCGUCACACCAUGGGAGCGGGUUCUGCCAGAAGUAGUUAGCCUAACCGCAAGGAGGGCGAUUACCACGGCAGGGUUCGUGACUGGGGUGAAGUCGUAACAAGGUAGCCGUAUCGGAAGGUGCGGCUGGAUCACCUCCUU
This 476-nucleotide ribosomal RNA is filed under the name Pelomonas sp. enrichment culture clone MBfR_AsRed_25. RNAcentral's name for it is "bacterial SSU rRNA". It matches the Rfam family "Bacterial small subunit ribosomal RNA", at positions 1050 to 1532 of the family's 1533-position model. The record is from RNAcentral. Lineage: Bacteria; Pseudomonadati; Pseudomonadota; Betaproteobacteria; Burkholderiales; Sphaerotilaceae.